RNAcentral lists this transfer RNA (71 nucleotides) under Therioaphis trifolii (yellow clover aphid). RNAcentral describes it as "tRNA-Asp". Lineage: Eukaryota; Metazoa; Arthropoda; Insecta; Hemiptera; Aphididae. The record is from RNAcentral.
AAGAAAUUAGUUAAAUAAAAUAAUAACAUUAAUUUGUCAAAUUAAAAUUAUAUUUUUAAAUAUAUUUCUUA